This 460-nucleotide ribosomal RNA is filed under the name uncultured bacterium. RNAcentral describes it as "partial 16S ribosomal RNA". It matches the Rfam family "Bacterial small subunit ribosomal RNA", at positions 338 to 795 of the family's 1533-position model. The record is from RNAcentral.
CCUACGGGAGGCAGCAGUGAGGAAUAUUGGUCAAUGGGCGCUAGCCUGAACCAGCCAAGUAGCGUGAAGGAUGACUGCCCUAUGGGUUGUAAACUUCUUUUAUAUGGGAAUAAAGUGCAGUAUGUAUACUGCUUUGCAUGUACCUUAUGAAUAAGGAUCGGCUAACUCCGUGCCAGCAGCCGCGGUAAUACGGAGGAUCCGAGCGUUCUCCGGAUUUAUUGGGUUUAAAGGGAGCGUAGGGGGGUUGUUAAGUCAGUUGUGAAAGUUUGCGGCUCAACCGUACAAUUGCAGUUGAUACUGGCAGCCUUGAGUACAGUAGAGGUAGGCGGAAUUCGUGGUGUAGCGGUGAAAUGCUUAGAUAUCACGAAGAACCCCGAUUGCGAAGGCAGCCUGCUGGACUGUAACUGACGCUGAUGCUCGAAAGUGUGGGUAUCAAACAGGAUUAGAUACCCCAGUAGUC